ACCACAGUUGUUUGUUUAUUAAAUAAGGUCGGACCUAGUAAUCUAAUGCUGCUUUCAGGCGAGCCUUGACAACGCCUUGCAAGGCCUACAUAAACAUUGCAGGUCCGCCAACAUUUAUAUUCGAAAUUUGUUACAUUUACAAACAGACAAACCGGUUAUUCCGCAUAAACGAACAGGCCCAAGGAUUUUAACCAUGGACAACAGGAAGUAAUUUAUCGGCUACCAAGGGCGUUACUGGGUGCAAGUAGUGUUGAGUGUAAUUUCAGUGUGCAUGCCUUGGGGACAGGUUAUUUUUACACCCAAUAACUAGGGUGUUGUGAAUAGCCCCAGAAGAUGGUACACAAACUGUACCAAAGAAUGACCACAAUGGAAAUCAGAAGGCAAUGGUUUUGAUAGGGCAAGUAAUAUGGGUGUCUCCCCUGGACAUUUCAACCACAUAAGCUAUAAUGCCUCUGAUUGCUUAAUGUACCCAGUGCGAGUCGAUGUACCCAGUGCGUGUCUGUGUACUCAAAAUAUCGCCAGUAUGAAUCAAAGUACCCAGUGCGAGUCUGUCCCUGUGCGAGUCAAUUUACCCAGUGCGAGUCAAGUACCCAGUGCGAGUCAAUGUACUCUGUGCGGGGAAAAUAUCACCAGAACUAUAAUGAAAGGGCUUAGUGCCAAGUUUUAACAUGAGCUUAAAAUGAAUUCCAAUUGACAGUAUUUUUAAUACACGGUUACUGAUCUGAUAGGAAUGUGUUUGAAUCCAGUAUAAAUUCUCAUGUUUUGAUAACAAGAUCAUUCUGAGGAACAACACAGCUACCCUGUUAUAACCUGAUCAAUAGUCGGGGGAAAAAACUUAUGGAUGAGGUACAGUAAAUGUAGUCUGAAUUUGUCUGGUUGUAACAGCAUUCCCAGAAAGAGGAUAUUCAGUUCAAAAAAAUAUAUUUUGUGACACUACAUAUAUUAAAGUUUUAUACACGAGAUAAUAUAAGUGUAACAUCCUACCUCACAAAGCUGAUCAUUGGUGCUGUAUAAUCAGUCAGGUUCCUAAAAGUGGCUGCAAUGUUCUACUCAUUACAAACAUACAGCUGACACUGCUCAAGAUGUGUUUGAUGUAGCUGUGUGAGGUAAAUGUUUUGAUCCCUGAAGUAAUUCGUAGUGUCACUUGCAUCGCUAGAGAAGAGUGUAAGAAGUGAAAGUGCAUCAAUAUUUUAUUUUAAAAAAUGUCCCCUACACGGUAUGUUGUAUAUUUGGCUGAAAAUUAGAAUUUUAUCAUGAGUUCAUCUGUCAAGCGUCUGUAUCGUUAAGAUUCCUUCGAAAGAAAUUAAAACAAGUCGGUUUAAAUAAAUGGUGGUAUUCUACAGGAAAAUGGUGUUACCAUUAUUGAUAGAAUGUGUCGGUUUAUUCUACCGUAACCGAGGGUUGUUGGUUCAAUCAUCAGUCUGAAAACUUCUUAUCUUCAAGUAUGCUGUUCAAGGAAUGUUGGAAUUCCGUAUCUCUCCAAAUUAUAGUACAUGGUGUGUGUAUUUUAGAAUGCUCAGCUAGAAGGUAUUACCGGCUUAUAUAUAGCCCUUUAAAUAAUUGAGGAAAUACAAUGUCGACGUGCUUUGAUGUUGCACCAAAAUAUAAUUGCACUAAUUAGAGUGUCUGUUUCAUGUUUUCUGUUGCAUAUUAUUAAAAGCUGAUAUAUAAAUACCUUCAUCUGUUAAAAUGUUAUUAUGCUUUAUUGAUUAAAAUUCCUUUAGAGCUAAAAUUAAGUAUGUUAACUAUUGGACUUUGUGAAAAAUUCUGAUAAAGAAAGCAUGUCAUUCACAGAUUAUGACUUAAUUUGAAUGAUCACCCCUACAUUUCCUAUUUAAAUCAAGGUAAUAUACACUUUGUAAAUGAUUCUAAAGGGAAGGCAUGUGUUCGUUAACAAAGGAUCACAGUGUCUGAUGAAACACUCGCUAAUUGUCAAAGGUGAUAAUUUGAUUGUGUUGGUGAAAUGUCGUUCGACACCUAGAUGCAAUUUCUUGGAUAAAGAUCGUAUUAUUAAGAAUACGAUCUCCUGUUCCAGUAAAAACUCUUGGACAAAUCUUGACGGUGAAUUUUCGUGAAUUUUCGUUGUUUAGAAUACCCUAUGUAUCCAGAUGGCAAGUCUCGUCUUGAACUGAAGUAGUUUUUUUGUACGUUUUGUCAACUUAAUGUGUUACGAUGACCUAAAUUACGAUUUUUGACUGUACUCUUUAGAAAUGAUAAGCCUUACUGGUGUUUUUUAGGUUAGACUUGGUCUGUUACUGUAAGCCUUACUGGUGUUUUGUAGGUUAGACUCGGUCUGUUACUGUGUUGUGGUGAGCUGUCAUUGUGAUAUCAAUUGUGCCUUGUUAGUUUUUAGUUUCCAAAAUCAAUACAGCUACUUGUGUCAGAAGCACAAACAAUUUCUGUUCAAUUCGUACAGUGCAUAACUCGAUAUGGACACUCCGGGGUCGGAUUAGUCGGUUUCGUUGUUAUUCCUGUUUUUCCUGUGGCAAGGGCAAACUUUAUUCUGGCCUACCAGUCGUGCUGGUUGCUGGUUUUGUGUUUGCAACUGGUAUGUUCAAGCGAGGCAGUACAAAUGCUGACGUCUUUUACCUGCGUAGAAGAGUUAUUAAAUGUAGAUGAAGAUUCAAUUCAUUAGUCACCAUCUUGUGUGCCACUCUGCCCGUCUCUCCAAUCUGGUAAAACUUCUUGCCAAACGGCAGGUGCUGUAAUUGUGCUCAUAUUUACAGGACACGAUCAAGCAGUGGUGCUGCCUUGCCACCGGCAACCCCGGCAAGCAACAAGAAUCAAAUUUUUCCCGAUAUGAACACCAUGCAUCUCUUCACAUUCUAACAUAUGCGUUUUUGCUGCAUAGAAGUUCAUUAAAUCAUGUUCAUAACAAUAGCAGGGGACCAAACAAAUCGUCGAGCUGCUCAGUGGAAUAUAUUCACUCUUCGCAAGUAAAAUCGAUAUUCACCAAGCACCAUUUUCACCCUUAAGUGGGAAUACAAGGAUAGCUGUAACAAGCUGCUUACCUGCAUUCUGUCCCUCAUAUGAAUUAGCUGUCGGUGUCGUCGUUAUAAUAUCUUCAUUACUUGGUGCAAAGUCAACCGCACAAAGAUUUCUAAGUAUAUAUCAUGUUGGUGAAAGACUUUGUUCAAGGUAAUACGGUAGGUAUCGUGUAUACUUUGAUUAAAUUUUUAGGUUAAGGAGCAACUGAGCUUUUAUUUUUGGAAUUGGUGGUUAACAGUUUGUGAACAUUGUGUGUUUGUGUUGGCACAUCAAUCAAUAUCCAUGUGCACGUGGCAGACAGUUGAGACGUUGCAUCAUCAAAAUUAGUGUAUCAUGUGACCCACUGUAGUUGUGAUGUCAUACAAAUCUGUGUAAUAUGUUUAUUUUGUGAGAUGGUAAAUGGUAUACAUUUAUAUGUUUUGAUAAUUCUUUUAAAAGUAUGGUGUAUGUUAUAAACCUGUUCAUGAUGAUGAACUCUAGUUUCUUGCAAUAUUUUAUACAUUGUGUAUAUUAUAAAUAUAGGGGAACAUGUAUUAACAUCAUUUAUCAUGGUAUCCCGAGAUUUCCUUUCACAUCCAAAGUCACGUUUUUUUUAUAAAAGAAAAAUUAAUGUUCAGUAAAAAACAACAAAUUGAUCAUUAUACUCAUUGUAUGGUAGUGUCGGCGUAGAGUAAAUGAACGCAAUACUACACAUUGUCAUGGCAACUGGCAAAAAAUGUCUCUAAGGAAAUGUUUAUAUAUAAGAAUUUGCUUGUGAUCAAGUUAUUGUUCCACCCAAACUAGAACAAUAUGAUGUUGUCAUUUUGGACAAAGCUGUGUACAUGUUGGUGAUGUAAUUGUUAUGAUCACAUAAUGAGUUGGAUGUAAUUGUUCCUGUGUGGUUUGUAUUUCAGUCCAAUUUGUAUGCUUGUUUCCUCAAUUCAACAAAAUAAAAACAUUUUAAAGACA
Molecule: long non-coding RNA, 3936 nt
Filed under: Mizuhopecten yessoensis (Yesso scallop)
Lineage: Eukaryota; Metazoa; Mollusca; Bivalvia; Pectinida; Pectinidae
Description: uncharacterized LOC110442517
Source: RNAcentral